CUCUUACUGACGCACGUGAAAAUGUGCUUCAUCUUGCGUUGAAAACACGAGCGUGCGCAAGUCUCAGUCACGAAGAGCAAAGUCUUGCAUGGAUACGUUAGAAAACACAAGCAUACAAGUGUGUUGUAGGUGGUUGCCAACUUAUCCAAGUCAAAAGAGCCUGCUUUCAGGUGUAAAUGCUACUCUGGUCACUAGAUGUGGAUUGGUGUGCAAAUGAAGCCUCACAGGUGGGUUCAUCUUCAGCGAGUUCUCUGGAGUCAUCGUCACUCUCCUCCACCCCUACAUCUGGAAUGGAUUCUUCCACCUCCACUGAAUUGUACCCUCUGUCAUCGAAACUUUCUAUAAUAAUGGGGGAA
Long non-coding RNA from Cyprinus carpio (common carp), 356 nucleotides. RefSeq lists it as uncharacterized. Lineage: Eukaryota; Metazoa; Chordata; Actinopteri; Cypriniformes; Cyprinidae. The record is from RefSeq and is a predicted model, not a curated record.